This is a non-coding RNA of Picea glauca (white spruce), 121 nucleotides long. The record is from Rfam. NCBI's taxonomy places the organism in Eukaryota, Viridiplantae, Streptophyta, Pinopsida, Pinales, Pinaceae.
ACAUGGAUACAACAUAGUGUUAAUGCAUCAGAUCCCAUUAGAACUCCAUAGUUAAUCACACUCAGGCUAGAGUAAUACUGGGAUGGGUGACUUCCCAGGAAGUCUUAGUGUUUUACAUGCC